CACACACACAGGACAUCUGCACAAUGGGAGGCAUCUCCCGGGUGGCCACCGUGGAGGCUGUGGCCUGUGGCCCCGGCUGGCGCCCAGCUGCCACACUUACGAUCAGCUCCAGGUCGCCUUCAGAGCCCGCGUAGUCUUCCAGCACCGUCGCCUCAAAGCCUAGGUCCUGGAUGAGCUGAGCGAUCUCCAGUGGCUGGAUGACGUCUGGGUGAUACUUCACCUCUGCCUUUCCGGCCAUCAGGGCAACCAGCACCGAGACGACGCCUGGAACCACGGGGCCCAGUUAGAACAGCGCAGGCAAGGCCUCUGGGGCGCAUCCAACAUAACCUAACAAAGACAAACAUCGGCCCCAGAAGCCUCCCGAUCAGGAGUUCUCAAACUUGACUGCACAUGAGGAUCACAGGGGGAGCUUUUACCACUCCCCAUGCUUGGCCCUAACCUCACACCAAAGUGGAAGAGAAAUCCUGGACUACAGACCAUCAGCUCCAACCGACAACAGUUUGGCUUACAACUUUUUGACUUUCUGAUGGUGCGAAAGUACAGCUUCAGGAGAAACGGACUCCAAACUUUGGGUGUGGGCCUUCUCCGGGGCUGGCGCGCUGCUGCACGGGGCUCCGUGGCGAUGCCAGGCAGCAGCUCAGGGCCUCGGCUCCCGCCCGGCUAUGCCAUCCUGAGGGUGAACGACUGAUGCACAUUCUGACACAGUUCAGGAGGUUGAAGCCUGACAGUACUGGUGACAGCUCCCGACGAGGCUACACUGGGGCCGGUGCUCCCAUCACGCCCUCCCCCCAACCAGAGGCAGAGGCACACAGUCGCAGACAUACGAAAAGAUGCCAAUACUCAAGAAUGGAACCUUCCAGUUGAAUGAGUGCUCUAAUUAGAUGAUGACAACAAGAAGAACUCAACAGGCCCUCUGCUAGCAUAUGGAUGAUCUCCUUGAAACAGCUCUCUGCGGUUCACAGGACUAUCAUCUCCAUCUUACAGAUUAAGAAAUGAGUUAAAGAAAUUUAAAAAUGUGCCCACGACCCCAGGUAGUAAGCAAUAAAGCUAGCUUCCAAACCAGGCCUCUUUACCCCCAGGAUCUGU
Molecule: long non-coding RNA, 1086 nt
Organism: Canis lupus familiaris (dog)
Lineage: Eukaryota; Metazoa; Chordata; Mammalia; Carnivora; Canidae
Exons: 3
Source: RefSeq, a predicted model, not a curated record